CUAUACCUUUUUAAAAGUGACUUUCAAGCCAUCCAUUUUAAUGCUCCUUUUUAUCAAGGGAAUAUCACUAAGUGCUUCUGAUGCAUACCUAUUUGCUUCAAUCUUCUGUUUAGUUACACUAGUUUUAUGAACUACACCUUAUAAUGUCCUUCUGGCUCGACAAUCAAUCAGAGUAUUAAAUGGAUUGAGCAUCUGCCCUCAGUAUUAUUAUUCUUGAUAGAAAAAUGAUUACCAAAUGUAUAACUAUGAGUUCACCUUUCAACAUUCAUUUAAUCAAGAUAAGUAAUUACCCUAGCAGGCAGUAAUUAGGUAAUUAGUAAAACUAGUUAAUACAAAUCACAUAUUAAUAUAACCAAAUAAAUGCUAGUAUAAUUUUUGUAAUUAUUAUGGCAUAUAGGUCCACCUGAUUUUUUUUUUAGUAAAAGACACAUAAUUUCUAAACUAUGUAUUGCACAAUUUCCACUUGCAUGUGGGAAUGCCUUUUGACAUCUGUGACCCUGCAGAGUAAAAAGGAGAUUGAGACAAUUAUCUCGGGUACUGAAGCAAAAGCCUGCUUGCACUAAAAUUAUCUGCCUAGUCUUUGCCUGAUUUUCUCUAAAUGGUUGCUCCAUUUAAAAAAAAAACCACCUUAUAGCAUUGUGCCUAAAUAUCCUUCUCUGUUUAGAAAAUGGAAAUACGGUAUUCUAAGAAUAAUUUACUCAAGAUAGACAAAUACUAUGCACAUAUGCAGAGUGUUCUCUGAUUCUGUAAUAUAAUGCUAGCUUUGAUACUUCUCUCCCCCAAGAGAAAAGAUGUAUCAUUAUCAAUAUCACCCCGUGGAUUCCCCAUCCCCUGCUCACACACAUAACCUAAAUCAAUUGUAAUGAAUAAACAUAUUCAUGAGAAAAAGUAAAUAUCUCUUGAUAUUGUGGUACACACACACAUAUGCACACAACACUAAUCUAUGUCUGUAUUUUCAGUGGCAGAUUAUUAAACAGCAUAUCCUGUGAUGGUUUUACUCAAAACGGUUACCAAUCAUAGCAUACUCCUGUGAUAGAUAUUGAUCCAUACCCAGGAUAUGUAACAAUUUGUGAAGAAUAUGUAGGAAAACUUUUGUUUCCCCCUAACAAUGAAUGGCCAACUGAUUUAUAAAGCCUGUAGGCCAACUAUGACCAGUUAAUGCCCAAUGCCAGCAGCAUGAAAAAUAAUUUGCAAACUUCCUCAUUGGAGUCUGGUUUGUGGUUCUCUUGUUUGAGUUAACUUAAUACUCCAUUAGAUUUCAUUACUGUCCAUGAACAUAAGAUAACAUAUUUGAGGUCUAGGCUUUAAAUGGCAGAAACUCUGUCUCAAUCAGUAACAACCUGUAAUCCCAGGACUUUGGGAGGCCGAGACAGGUGGAUCAUGAGGUCAGGAGAUCGAGACCAUCCUGGCUAACAUGGUGAAACCCCGUCUCUACUAAAAAAUACAAAAAACUAGCCGGGCGAGGUGGCGGGCGCCUGUAGUCCCAGCUACUCGGGAGGCUGAGGCAGCAGAAUGGUGUGAACCCGGGAGGCGGAGCUUGCAGUGAGCUGAGAUCCGGCCACUGCACUCCAGCCUGGGUGACAGAGCGAGACUCCAUCUCAAAAAAAAAAAAAAAAAAAA
RNAcentral lists this long non-coding RNA (1620 nucleotides) under Macaca fascicularis (crab-eating macaque). Its description in RNAcentral is "lncRNA (ENSMFAG00000061479.1)". The record is from RNAcentral. Lineage: Eukaryota; Metazoa; Chordata; Mammalia; Primates; Cercopithecidae.